Molecule: long non-coding RNA, 157 nt
Organism: Gopherus evgoodei (Goodes thornscrub tortoise)
Lineage: Eukaryota; Metazoa; Chordata; Testudines; Testudinidae
Exons: 3
Source: RefSeq, a predicted model, not a curated record
UUUCACUCCAUGCAUCUGAAGAAGUGGUUUUUUUCCCACGAAAGCUUAUGCUGAAAUAAAUUUGUUAGUCUCUAAGGUGCCACAAGUACUCCUGUUCUUUGUGUGGUGUGUGAAGAAGUACUUCCUUUGUUUAAAACCUGGUGUCUAUUAUCUCCUA